This 117-nucleotide small nucleolar RNA is filed under the name Sus scrofa (pig). Its description in RNAcentral is "Small nucleolar RNA SNORD22 (ENSSSCG00055026262.1)". It matches the Rfam family "Small nucleolar RNA SNORD22". Rfam says of the family: U22 is a member of the C/D class of snoRNA which contain the C (UGAUGA) and D (CUGA) box motifs. U22 is encoded within the U22 snoRNA host gene (UHG) in mammals and has also been identified in Xenopus. Lineage: Eukaryota; Metazoa; Chordata; Mammalia; Artiodactyla; Suidae. The record is from RNAcentral.
UUGACGAGAGUACAUCUUGCUGACACUUGCUUUUGUGUCCCAGUCCCAGAGCCUGUAAAGGUGAACCCACUGGAGCUGGCUGGGGGAGAAGAGAAAGGCUUGUUCANUUUUUUCUAU